This 349-nucleotide long non-coding RNA is filed under the name Mytilus galloprovincialis (Mediterranean mussel). The record is from RNAcentral. Lineage: Eukaryota; Metazoa; Mollusca; Bivalvia; Mytilida; Mytilidae.
GUUCUUAUACUUUAUGCAGUAGGUCAAUUAUUUUUGGUGUUAUAAAAAUAUUUUGUGAUCUAUGUCAGUCGCGCACGCUUUAUUUGAGUUUGACCCAAUUUUCGCGGUUCAUUGCUCAAGUGUGAAGUUUUUGUUUUGGUCUUUUUUUUUAAACUAUAAGCAAUAGGUCAACUACAUUUGUUGUAUGGAAGAAUCAUUUAGCUGAACAUGCCUGCCUUGCAUGGUUCAUUGGUCAAUGUUUAGUUUUCUUGGUAAAUGUUAGUUUGUUUGUGUGACAGUUGUAAUAAAGCUUUAUAUUUAGGACCAUCAACAUGAUAUCAAUGAUAAGUAAAGAAGGCGAGAAAUUUCA